GACGGUAGGGCGCGAGCGUUGUCCGGAUUUAUUGGGCGGUAAGAGCUCGUAGGCGGUCUGUCGCGUCGGCUGUGAAAUCCCGAGGCUCAACCUCGGGUCUGCAGUCGAUACGGGCAAACUAGAGUAUUGCAGGGGAGACUGGAAUUCCUGGUGUAGCGGUGAAAUGCGCAGAUAUCAGGAGGAACACCGGUGGCGAAGGCGGGUCUCUGGGCAAUAACUGACGCUGAGGAGCGAAAGCGUGGGGAGCGAACAGG
Molecule: ribosomal RNA, 254 nt
Filed under: uncultured bacterium
Lineage: Bacteria
Description: partial 16S ribosomal RNA
Rfam family: Bacterial small subunit ribosomal RNA
Source: RNAcentral